Molecule: ribosomal RNA, 498 nt
Filed under: uncultured bacterium
Lineage: Bacteria
Description: bacterial SSU rRNA
Rfam family: Bacterial small subunit ribosomal RNA
Source: RNAcentral
GACGAACGCUGGCGGCGUGCCUAACACAUGCAAGUCGAACGGAGAUUUACGUCAACACAAAGCUCUUCACGUAAGAGUAAUGUGGAGGGUUUUGAGUUGAUGUAAAUCUUAGUGGCGAACGGGUGAGUAACGCGUGAGCAACCUACCAAGGAGAGGGGGAUAACACAGAGAAAUCUGUGCUAAUACCGCAUAAAGUCACGAUAUCGCAUGGUAUGGUGAUGAAAGGGCUUUUGCCUGCUUCUUGAUGGGCUCGCGUCUGAUUAGCUAGUUGGUAGGGUAACGGCCUACCAAGGCGAUGAUCAGUAGCCGGGCUGAGAGGUUGACCGGCCACAUUGGGACUGAGACACGGCCCAGACUCCUACGGGAGGCAGCAGUGGGGAAUAUUGCGCAAUGGGGGGAACCCUGACGCAGCGACGCCGCGUGAAGGAAGAAGGUCUUCGGAUUGUAAACUUUUGUCUUUGGUGACGAUAAUGACGGUAGCCAAGGAGGAAGCCACGG